AGCAGUCGCCGCGGUAAUACAGAGGGUGCAAGCGUUAAUCGGAUUUACUGGGCGUAAAGGGCGCGUAGGUGGUUAUUUAAGUGAGAUGUGAAAGCCCCGGGCUUAACCUGGGAACUGCAUCUUAUACUGGGUAACUGGAGUGCAGUAGAGGGUAGUGGAAUUUCCGGUGUAGCGGUGAAAUGCGUAGAUAUCGGAAGGAACACCAGUGGCGAAGGCGGCUACCUAGACUGAGACUGACACUGAGGCGCGAGAGCGUGGGGAGCAAACAGGAUUAGAUACCCCAGUAGUCCCUGUCUCUUAUAC
RNAcentral lists this ribosomal RNA (303 nucleotides) under uncultured bacterium. RNAcentral's name for it is "partial 16S ribosomal RNA". It matches the Rfam family "Bacterial small subunit ribosomal RNA", at positions 507 to 807 of the family's 1533-position model. The record is from RNAcentral.